This 1410-nucleotide long non-coding RNA is filed under the name Apteryx haastii (Great spotted kiwi). RNAcentral describes it as "lncRNA (ENSAHAG00000015859.1)". Lineage: Eukaryota; Metazoa; Chordata; Aves; Apterygiformes; Apterygidae. The record is from RNAcentral.
UUUCUGCAGGGCUCAGAAGAAGAGGCCAGCCCGCGGGGGUUCGCUUGCACGGACAUAGGUGUUAACCUCCCAAGAGCGGGCUGCGAGCACAAAAGGGAGAAGCCACCUCCGCGAUGGGCGCCCAGCCAUCCGCAGCCCUCCCCACCGCGCCGGCACACGGGCUCCCGCUUUGCUCCUCCGCUGCCGGCACACGCGCGGGGGCCGUGCCCCGCCGCGACACCGCGCCCGGCUCGCCACGGCCCCCCCGCGAGCCCGCCGCGACGAGGGACGAGCCCCGCGGAGAGCGGCCGCCGCACGCCGGGGCUGCGGGCUCCCCCCGCGCCACCGCUCGUUGCUCACCUUGAAGAGGAAACAGCCGCCGGCACCCGGCCCCGCCGCGGGAAGCCUCCCCCCUCCCUCCCGCGCGCGCCCCGCCGGCGAGCGCCAACGGUCACAACCGCUGCCCGCGCAGCCCGCAAAUUUGCGGGCAGCCCCAGUGCGCGGCGCGGCGCGGCGCGGCGCGGCGCGNNNNNNNNNNNNNNNNNNNNGGCGCGGCGCGGCGCGGCGCGAGGAGAGGAGAGGAGAGGAGAGGAGAGGAGAGGAGAGGAGAGGAGAGGAGAGGGCAGUCGGGGCGCCCCCCGCGGGGCAGGCGCUGCCCAGAAGGCUGCCGGGCGCGGGGGGGCGGGAGCCCCGGCGGGAGUUUCGCGGCGGCCCGGCCCCGCCUCGCGGCUCCCCUUUUGUCCCGGCCACGCCGCCGCCCCGUCCCUCUGCCCCACGGCGGCACGCGCUCCGCCGCGCCGUCCCGGCCAGCUCCGCCGCCGCUCCCGCCGGCGAGCGGGGCAAGGGCAAGCGCCCUCUCCGCGAGAGGGAGGGGAAGAGGGCCCCGCGCGGCGUUACCUGCAACGAGAAGGCGCCCAAGCGGCAUCGCCCACCCAGGUACGAAACUCUGCCCGUCCGGCGAGCCCCGAGCCGGAGCGGCCGGCGGGGGAGGGGCCGCCGCCGCUUCGGCUCCGCGAAACAUCCUCAGCGCCCAUUGGCUCCGCCGCCGCCCCACCCCUCCUUGACCCCGCCCCUCCGGGGCAGCUCGGUGCGCCCAUUGGCGGCGGCGGCUGUGACGCGCGGCAGGCCGGGCCGAGGAAGCGGGGCGAGGAGCUCGGUCGCGGCAGCAGCCGGGGGGAGCGGGGCCGGCCAGGGUCGCGCCCCCCAACUCCACACCCCUCCGCCUCGCACAAAGGCGGGAGCGGGGCGGUGCCUCCUUCACAAAGCAGCCCCCCUUCCUUCUCUCCUCCCCUCCGCCCGGGCUGCCCCUUUGUGGCGGCUGCUUUCCCCGCUCACCUGGGUCCCCGCGGCGGCAGCUGGAGCGCGCCCCCGGGCUUGUCCUGCCCUCGCGCCCCCGGGCGCGCGCGCCGCGACCGUUGCCGCGACCGUUAG